Molecule: long non-coding RNA, 1220 nt
Filed under: Solanum tuberosum (potato)
Lineage: Eukaryota; Viridiplantae; Streptophyta; Magnoliopsida; Solanales; Solanaceae
Description: long non-coding RNA (STUB_LNC000595)
Source: RNAcentral
CUAGAUUUUUUCGAGACCCAAUUCUGCUAGUCAUAUAUAAACUGCUCUCAGUUUAUGCAGAUACCUAGAUCUGAAAUUUUCAGGAAGGCGUCUUCAUAAACGCCGUUUCCACUUUUCAUUCUUUCUUCCAGAUCUGAAUUUGAAUUUCAUCGGAAAAAACUGCGAAAAUGAGAGAAUGCAUUUCAAUCCACAUCGGACAGGCCGGAAUUCAGGUCGGAAAUGCAUGCUGGGAGCUUUAUUGCCUUGAACAUGGCAUUCAGGUACAUGAUUUUUCAAUUUUUCUUUCUUCUUCAGAUAAGCACAUUGUUGUUAAGAAGCUUGACGUCGUUGUGUAUGUUAUAGAUCUGUUUGAAUUUGUUAGUUUGAAUUAUUUGAAUGUGUUUGUUUUUGUGUAGAUCUAGUUGAUUCUGAAUAGAAAUGUGUUGUUAUCUUAUAGAUCUAUUUGAAUCCAGAAGUUUGUCUAAUUUAGCGAUUGGUUAUAGAUUUUGAAGACUUCUCUUCAAAAAUUUGUUUGGCCAUGAAAUUUGAGCAGGUUUUGAAAAUUUGAUCUUCAAAUAUUUUCAAUUAAAAUGCAUGUCCAAACACAACAUUAAAAACUCAUUGUAUUUUUUCAAGUUUCAACUGUUUGGCAACAAUGGAAUGAUCACAAUAAUAACAUAUUUAGUUAUUUAGCAAAAUAAUUGUACCAAAAUUAGAUAAAUAUGGCUAUAAUAUUUUGAAUAUUCAUAGAUAAUACUCGAGUUGUGUACUGUUCUAAAUGUUUCCAAAGAUUAAACUAGUCUUCUCUGGGAAUCAACAAAAUUUUAUUAAUACUAAUACUAGCAAGUUUUUUUUUAUGGGAGAAAUAAAAGCCAACAAAAGAAGAUAGUUAAAUUAGAAAGGCAUAAAAGGAAGAGUAGGAUGUAUUUUGCUGAGUAAAAUUGAAGCGUAUUUAUAGGCUUGAAGUGGUUUGUUUUCUCCUACAAGUGUCAAAUUUAUGUGCAAAGGAAAUGAACCAUUUCCUAACAUAUGUUUGACGCUUGUCAAGAGAAAACAACUCACUUCAAGCAUAUAAAUAAGCAUGCAUACUUCAAGCAAAAAUUUAAUACUAAAUACUUUCUUCCUCCCUCUGUCUCGCCUCAUGUUGUCUCUCUUCCUUUUGUGCCUUUUUAUUGUCCUCUAUUUCACAUCAAAAUUUAUGGCCAAAUGGGAGCUAAAUGUGUGCAGUUUUGGUAUUCGUC